CAGAACUGAAACUCUGCUUGAGUGAUGGACCACGUGUUUUUAGGAUUUGUUUUAAAGAGCUUUUGAAACCCUCUCCUCAAUAAGAAGGUCCAAAAUACCCAGCUGAGAUUUUCCUCGCAGCAUUUUCUGAAUCAAUUCAAGUUCUGUGGAGCUGUCACCAGAGGGUCCAUUUUGAGCUUAUUCUUUGAAAGCUAUGGCAACUUUGGCAACCUCAUCUGUGCACUGUUCUGCCUCUGGAGACUGCAGAAAAGCGAUUUGGAGCUUGUCGCACAAUCCCCUCCCCUCCCCCCACCAGCCCCAAUGGGAUGUUGAGCAGAAAUUCUUCAUCUAGCCAGACUCAUUUACAAACAGCAUGUUAUUCUCUGCCUGCGGUGUUGUUUUCAUCGGAACUUUUGGGAACCUACAAGUCCGUGAAUCUGGUACUGUGGACCCCAGGAUGAGGGAUAUGACAAUAAGAUCUGGUUCCAGCGCCACUUCUGUCACCAACCUACUGAACCAUCUGUAAAAUGACCAUCAUGAUUUUUCAUACCAUCCUGCAGGAAUUUCCCUAGGAUUCAUUACACUCUGCUUGCAAGGUUGAAUAAUUCUCCAAGUGGGAAGGACCAUUCUAAAUAGAGAAGACACCUGUGCAAAGACAAAUAGGAAAAAGCCUUUCUGGAAGACAAAAAAUAUCAUUUAAAUAUUAAAGAAUGAAUUGCAAAGGCAUUAAUCAAACCCUCUGUAAAUCACUCCUGUUGGAAUGCCCUCUCAUUUAUUAUUACCUCAUUGGUAUUUAUCAUAUUUUGAUCUUGUUUAAUAGGGUUUAUACAAGCAUUUCAGAAAGGCUGCAGUGCAGAAUGUCUUUCUGCAGGAAAAAAAAAAAAAGAAAGAAAGAAAGAAAUUAAGCUGGACACAGUGUCAGGAGCCAGAACUGAGAAGAGCCCUGUGUCCAGGGACAAGAAGGUCCUGAAUUCUGUAAGUACUGGGAGGCACUAGUGAAUUUUAGGGAGGAUGCUGACACAAUCAUAUUCACAUUUUGGAAAAGAAAGGCCACUAUGAUGGUCUUAUGAGGAAAGACGAAAAACAGGUGCCAGUGGAGGCAAAAGUAAUAGCUGGGGAAGAGUAAAGAGGAGAGAAAGCAAGUAAGCAGAAUCAGGUAAGAGACAAGAGCAGUUUGAAAGGCAGAAGGAGAAUUGAAGACAAUGAGUCAAAGUCCAGGGAGAAAAACAGCUUCAAGAAAAAGAUAUAAAUUCAAUGAGAUUAAAAACUGAAAUCUACUCCUUGGUUCUAGAUCUUAGCAAGAUCAUUGGUGAUCUUAACAAGAUCACUGAGAGGGAGUGGUUGACAGAUGAACUCCCACAUAUGAUUCAGGGUAGAGAGGAAAGAAAGGCAGGAGAGCUCCUGGAGAACAAAUGGAAGGAUUCAGAAUAGAGGAGACAGAGAUCUUAUGUAAUCUCAUGGGCUCCGCAGGAAGGAAAGUGAGAGCAGAUACAGAGAGGUGGCUGAUGUUCAGGAUCUCAGCAAUGGAGUCAUAACAAGAUCUCCGUGUGGCCACCAGAGCUGCCCAAAUGGGACAGAGAAGGGGGAAGCAGCUCAGUAAGAUAUGAGCCUUUCAGGCAAGGACAAGAGAUGCACAUUACACAAACAUGCUUCCUUGAGUAGACAGAGAUUAGAAGUCAGGUGCCAAACUAUUCUUUAGGAAAAUGGACUCAGUCAAGUUCAUUCUCUAUUGGAGUAUAAUCUGUCGCUGAUUAGUUCCAUAUAUGGUAAUCUCCCACUGUAAUAUUAAUUUUCUUUUUCCCUUAGAGUGGAAUUAGAGAUGAUCCUUUCCCGUUUUUGUGAUGAGAGCACUCUGGUUUGCUUUCCCCUCUUUCCCAGCCUCUCUCUGGUUUUUCCAUCAUUUGCUGCCUUCCAAGCUGGUGGGUGGUUCAUUAGCAAUUUCCUUCUGUUCUUGCCAAUUCUCCUUCACCUGCCUGAGGAGCCGCUUCCAACAGUGUUAGGAGCCAGGGAGAUUUCCUCUCAUAUAUGAGUGGACAAUUCCAAGCCCAGACCCUGUUUUCCUUUCCCCAGCGUCCUUCACCUCCCAGAGUUUUGAGGUUUCUAAAUCUCUCACAUGAGAAGCUGUCUGUUUGCCAAUCCAUUCCGCUCCUGCCAAAGCUGCCUGACAAGUUCAACAUGAACGGUUUGAAAUUGAUUUGUCCCCUAUAUAAACAUGUUAAACUUUUAACUCACAGAGAAACAAUACCAUUUUCCAUUUUUUUUAAAAAAAAUUUGGUAGUAUCCUAUAUAUUGAGCUUCAGGAUUUUCCUGUGGAUAAAUGCUGAGCAAGUCCACUUUUAACUCUACUGUCUGUCACAGUCCUGCCUGCAGCAGGACACACAGAGCUGUAUCCACUUAAAAGUUCUGGGGACUUCAGGAUCUGGAAAACAGAAUCUGGUUUUCUUUUGUGUAGCUAAUGCAGGGUCUCUGGGAGUCUCUCUAAGCUUCCUGGGGCUCUCUCUGAAGUGAGUCAGCAUUUUGGUGUUUGCUUAACUCCUGAGGUUAUUGAAGCGCCAAGGGGGGGCAUAGUUUAUCCAAAGGCACACUACAGGAUGGUGGCAGGCUAAAAUCAGACCCAGAGCUUGUUUUCACUAGGCAGGACUCCUUGAACUUUGCCAUGUCCACUGGAAGUAUGCAUGAUGGUACAAGCUCUGCACUUCUAUCUUUAAAUAGUCCACUGGCAACCGUGAUUGGAAGUCCCUCUGUGAAAUUGGUUCAGGCCCUUGUGUGAAGAAGUUCAGACUGCUGUUUGAAGGGAUUCUGACGGUUUCUGCCAAAUAUAAUACUUAGAUCUAGGAGUGAGAAAAAUGAUACAAGAUGGCAGGAAUAUGAAGUGGAGACUGAAAUAGAUCUGUUCUCUUCCUUUGCUUUUCAACUGGCAGUCGUACCCCAUUCUCUCUCUCUUUUUUAUAACCUCUGGAAAUUUCUGCUAAGUCCAAAAUCAUCUUUCCCUUGAAACAAUUAGAUUGGACGUGCAAGAUUCAAGUUCAUCCACAUGCACUGUUAUGAUUUGUCUGCAGAAACUCCUCGUGUUCCAGUGUGCCAGGAUACACAACCAGGGAAGAAAGGGGAGGGGAGGUGGUUGGAUUAAUAGCAUUCUAAAUUUAUAAUGCAUUUUCUUAGUCUCUUUUCCUUGGAUGUAAUUUUGAAAAGACAGGAAUCCAAUAUGGUGGUUUUUUUUUGUUGCAUACAGCUUGUCACUUCACUAUAUGUAAAAAUUUGUAACCCUUUAUCAUAAAAACACUGAUAGCUAUUGUAAACAGUAAACACACUGUGAAGGGCCUUAGUUACCAAUUUAGGAUCUUACAAUUGAAAGAUACCUUAAAAAUAAUA
This is a non-coding RNA of Ictidomys tridecemlineatus (thirteen-lined ground squirrel), 3351 nucleotides long. The record is from RefSeq and is a predicted model, not a curated record. NCBI's taxonomy places the organism in Eukaryota, Metazoa, Chordata, Mammalia, Rodentia, Sciuridae.